This is a long non-coding RNA of Oncorhynchus tshawytscha (Chinook salmon), 3116 nucleotides long. The record is from Ensembl. NCBI's taxonomy places the organism in Eukaryota, Metazoa, Chordata, Actinopteri, Salmoniformes, Salmonidae.
GUUGGAAAUGGCGCCUUGUCCAAUACAACAACCAAGGAAACGGGCAGAAAACAUGGAACCCCUAUUACAUUGACUUUCCCAGAGUUAAAUCAUCAACAGGUGGCUGAACAAUGAAUAUAUGCUCACCUGGAGCCUGUAUAAGGCCACCUGGGAAAGGUGAGGAGGAACGCCACUCGCCGCCGUGCUGACCAGCCUGCCAUUCGACCUGGCCCUGACGCUGCCCUUCCCCUCACACUAUUAACAGCCGGUCACCAAGGGUCCCAAUCGCGUCGAUACAAGGGUGGCACGGCUGGCCCUCAGAAAGUUGUUGGCCUGGGACGGAGGUACAAGGUGACUGAUGAAGGAUUGACCCAGGCAACUGACCGACCACCCUCAAUACUCCCGGCCUUCCCUUCUCUCCCGUCUCUCGGACUCAUACAGGCUUCACAGCUCAGCACACAUUUAACACACAGGUUUACAACCAUUACAAUGAACCUUUGACUCUUGCCAAUGCCCUCUAGAACACAGUUUGGAAAAAGUUUUUAAUCACAAGAUUUGGUAAUAGCAGAGAUUUUCAUGUCACCUAUGAUGUUUUGGAAAUACUAAAAUCAGAGUUCAGUUCAAUGCCAUACAUGGCAAUGACAGUGUAAUGGGAUUUACACACACACACACACACACACACACACACACACACACACACAGGGACCUCUGUUUCUACUUGAAAGUAUCCUCUGACUCUGAGAAAGUGUGUCUCACAGACUUUAUUUAGCCCACAGAGGAAUGUCUGCCUCACUACCAUUUGAUACCAUAGUCUCUCAGUACUCAGAAUUCCCAAGGUGAGUCUAAUGUUUUAUGGCUGUCUGAGAGGACAAAAGGGAUUCGCUCCAACCACUGUAUCCUAAAACAGGAGCAGAAUAACAUCCACAAGAAGACAAUGAAGCCUUUUCUGCAACUAUGCGCAAUGGGAAAGCACUCUAAAACAUGAUAUAAAACAAAAUGCAUGACUAAUGGAAAAAUGGGACUGGAUUCGGUCUUAUGUAGCAAAAUUUGAAAUUGUGUUUUUUACAUUAGAUAAAAGUAGAGACUCAGAGCUACACAAAUGUAUAUCAUACACUGCAUUUGAGGAACAAUGGGAAAGUAAUUUUGCUUUGAAAGUUGAUCAACUUGUAAUCUCACAUUUGAGAAAAUCGCCUUUGAAUGUUUGCGAUCUAGUGAAGAUCUCUUCUUUGUCUACACACAUUCAGCAUUGUUCACACCCUCACCAUAAGCUUUAGCCCCACCCAUCUCGUUUUGCUCUCGAAGCUCACACUUGACGCUCUGGCCAAUGAUUUGUUUACCUCUGGAUUGCAUGAAAACAGUCUAACCAGCUCUGCUGGCAACAAUUUCAUUACGCUUUUUUUGCAGACGUUUACUGACACCGGGUAUAUUCAACGGGUGUUGUACACACAUCACGUAAUGUUAGUUAACGAGCCAGCCAGCCAAAGUUAGCUAGUUAAACAAAAAACAGUGCCAAAAAUGCCACAAUGCUGGGAGCUAACCAACCAUGUUCAAUGUUAGCUAGCUAACAUUAGGCUCGAACUAGAACUGCACACGGCUCUGGGAAACAAAUAAUAACGUCAGUUAGGGAGCCAGCCAGCUAACAUGAGCUAGCUAACGGUACACUUUAGCUAGAAAUUAAACCACUUUCUGUCAAAAUUAGAAAACAUGUCAUAUCUGAAAACGGAGCUAGCUGACGCUAGACUAUCUUACCUGUAUACAUCAUCGUGCAUGGACGCGUCUCCCUGUCUGGAAUGCCAUGCCACUGUUGCCCUUAGUUUGAAGAUGUAAUCCGGAGACAGGUGUUUCCUCCAUCUCUUUAGCUAUCAUACUCUAAUUCCACUGAUUUUAAAACUUUAUCCUCCAGAAAGUGGAGAGACACAAAUAUGCAGCUCCACUACACAAUAUAUAUUUUUUUAAAAGCCGCGUUCGACAGGAUUACCAACACAGACUGACGAGCUUCUAUGGCAGACCAAUCUGAACUCUUCUCUCGGCAUGUCCAAUCUGUCACGAAUACCACCGAAGGUGGCUCCUCUUCCUGUUCGGGUGGCGCUCGGCGCUCGUCGUCGCCGGUCUACUAGCUGCCACCGAUCCCUUUUUCCUUUUCGUUUGUUUUUGUCUAAUUGUUUUCACCCGUUCCUUGUUGGGCUUUUGGGGUGGGUAUUAUUUAAGUUUCUUUAGCCCACUUGUGGUUGUGCAGGCUUGUUGUUAUUGUAUUUAGGUGGUAUAUUGUUGAUUUUGGGUUUUCGCUGUCCGGUUUAUGUAACAGUGGUCUUUGGGUUGUGUUUGCUCCUUUGUUUUGGCUUCACCAAUUUUUGUACCUGUUCUUGUUUACUGAGAACAUUAAAGUGUUUUCCCGUGAAACUUCUGCUCUCUGCGCCUGACUCCACACCCAUCACUCUUCCGACGUUACAGAAGCCCGCACCACUUUUAUGGAGUCAGCAGGAGCAGCGACCACCCUUCUCCCCACGAUGGAGGAGAGAGUCCUUUAUCACACGUCCAUCCUCCAUCGCAUCGGAUCAGCGAUGGAUCAAAUGAUGGAGAGGAUGGACCGUUGGGAGAGGAGUGGUCUCCCUAUUACCCGACCUACCGUCCCACCAGCAACUCUACCAUCUCCUCCAGCGGGAUCCGGUGCCAGCGCUCUGCGUAUUACGCCUCCGAGGGAGUACGAUGGAGCGGCGGGGGGUGCCAGGGAUUCCUGCUACAAAUAGAUCUCUACCUGGUCACCGUUCGGCCGGCUCCCUCGGACGAGGAGCGCGUGAGUGUCCUCGUCUCCUGCCUGAUGGGUGGAGCCCUGGAGUGGGCCAAUGACGUCUGGAACGGGCCCGACUCAGCGAGGGGCCACUACCUGGAGUUCACCCGCCGUUUCCGGGCCGUGUUCGAUCACCCUCCGGAGGGCCGAGCGGAGGGUGAGAGGUUGUUCCAUCUCCGGCAGGGGACGAGGAGCGCGCAGGACUUCGCGCUGGAAUUCUGGACCUUGGCCGCUGGAGCGGGGUGGAACGACAGGGCCCUGAUAGACCAUUACAGGUGUAGCCUGAGAGAGGACAUCCGCAGGGAGCUGGCUUGUUGGGACACAACGCUCAGCCUGGAUGAGCUAAUAG